AAUAUUGCACAAUGGGCGCAAGCCUGAUGCAGCCAUGCCGCGUGUAUGAAGAAGGACCUUCGGGGUUGUAAAGGUACUUUACAGCAGUGAGGAAGGUGGGUAUGGUUAAUAGCAUAUUCAUUUGACGUUAGCUGCAGAAGAAGCACCGGCUAACUCCGUGCCAGCAGCCGCGGUAAUACGGAGGGUGCGAGCGUUAAUCGGAAUUACUGGGCGUAAAAGCGCAUGCAGGUGGUUUGUUAAGUCAGAUGUGAAAGCCCGGGGCUCAACCUCGGAAUUGCAUUUGAAACUGGCAAACUAGAGUACUGUAGAGGGGGUAGAAGUUUCAGGUGUAGCGGUGAAAUGCGUAGAGAUCUGAAGGAAUACCGGUGGCGAAGGCGGCCCCCUGGACAGAUACUGACACUCAGAUGCGAAAGCGUGGGGAGCAAACAGGAUUAGAUACCCUGGUAG
RNAcentral lists this ribosomal RNA (447 nucleotides) under uncultured bacterium. Its description in RNAcentral is "bacterial SSU rRNA". It matches the Rfam family "Bacterial small subunit ribosomal RNA", at positions 360 to 793 of the family's 1533-position model. The record is from RNAcentral.